This 253-nucleotide ribosomal RNA is filed under the name uncultured bacterium. RNAcentral describes it as "partial 16S ribosomal RNA". It matches the Rfam family "Bacterial small subunit ribosomal RNA", at positions 524 to 776 of the family's 1533-position model. The record is from RNAcentral.
UACGAAGGGGGCUAGCGUUGCUCGGAAUGACUGGGCGUAAAGGGCGCGUAGGCGGCAUGUACAGUCAGAAGUGAAAUUCCUGGGCUCAACCUGGGGACUGCUUUUGAUACGUGCAAGCUAGAGUGAGGAAGAGGGUUGUGGAAUUUCCAGUGUAGAGGUGAAAUCCGUAGAUAUUCGCAAGAACACCAGUGGCGAAGGCGGCUCACUGGCCCGGUACUGACGCUGAGGUGCGAAAGCGUGGGGAGCAAACAGG